GGCUGGGUAGCUCAGUUGGUACGAGCGGCCGCCUGAAAAGCGGCAGGUCGCCGGUUCGAUCCCGGCCCCAGCCA
This 74-nucleotide transfer RNA is filed under the name Streptomyces griseus. Its description in RNAcentral is "tRNA-Phe". It matches the Rfam family "tRNA". Rfam says of the family: Transfer RNA (tRNA) molecules are approximately 80 nucleotides in length. RNAcentral also lists the same sequence under 6 other names. The record is from RNAcentral. Lineage: Bacteria; Bacillati; Actinomycetota; Actinomycetes; Kitasatosporales; Streptomycetaceae.